GAUGAACGCUGGCGGCGUGCCUAAUACAUGCAAGUCGAACGGUCAAGCGACAGCUUUCUGCCUCUGACCAUUGGCGCACACGUGUGAAUCACGUGUGGAUCCCCUCCCUAUCAGUCUGAGAUAACUUGGGGACAGCGGAGAAUAUCCCGGAUGCUACAUUAAACCACAUUCUUCGGUAGUAAAGGACGUUUUUUCUGGUACUUGUUAGCGGCUCCGCGCCGCAUUAGCUAGUUGGUAAGGUAACGGCUUACCAAGGCGACGAUGCGUAGCCGAGCUGAGAGGGUGAUCGGCCACACUGGAACUGAGACACGGUCCAGACUCCUACGGGAGGCAGCAGUAGGGAAUCUGCCGCAAUGGGCGAAAGCCUGACGGAGCAACGCCGCGUGAGUGAUGAAGGUCUUCGGAGCGUAAAACUCUGUUAUGAGGGAAGAACAAAUGUGUAAGUAACUAUGCACGUCUUGACGGUACCUAAUCAGAAAGCCACGGCUAACUACGUG
Molecule: ribosomal RNA, 497 nt
Filed under: uncultured bacterium
Lineage: Bacteria
Description: partial 16S ribosomal RNA
Rfam family: Bacterial small subunit ribosomal RNA
Source: RNAcentral